AUUUUAGUGGUUUGAGAAAAAAUUGCAUAUUCGUGAAUAUGUAAUUUGGUGGUUUUGACACAUUCUGCAUACAAUCCCUUAGACAAUUUGUAAUAUGUUGAACAUUUUAAGUCGUGGUUCUCCUGUACCCACAGGAUCUUCCGGUAGAAUUUUGACACCUACACCAGUAAGCAGGAGUUCACACCAAACAUACAUGGGGAAAAUACUUAUAUUAUUCAA
Molecule: long non-coding RNA, 219 nt
Filed under: Mytilus galloprovincialis (Mediterranean mussel)
Lineage: Eukaryota; Metazoa; Mollusca; Bivalvia; Mytilida; Mytilidae
Source: RNAcentral